UGCGAGAGCGGCGGGCGACACACGCCGUAUGUCCGGUGUCGUUGUCUUCGCAUCGCAGAACGAGGUGCACGUUCUGCUCGACGGCAUCCGCCUCCGCCGGCUGCCGCCUACCGAUCUCACGAUCGAGAACGACACCACCGGCGAGCUUGCGAUCGAGCUCGAGAAGAUCGCCGGUGACGCGCGGCUCUUCGGGCAGCUCGUCGAAGGACAAUC
RNAcentral lists this unclassified non-coding RNA (213 nucleotides) under plant metagenome. RNAcentral describes it as "partial contains 5.8S ribosomal RNA, internal transcribed spacer 2, and large subunit ribosomal RNA". The record is from RNAcentral.